GAUUAACGCUGGCGGCGUGCAUAACACAUGCCAGUCGAACGAUGAAACUCAUUAGAUUUCUUCGGAAUGAAAAUGAAUGGAUUAGUGGAGAACGGGUGAGUAACGCGUGAGUAACCUGCCUUACACAAGGGGAUAGCCUCUGGAAACGGAGAAUAAUACCCUAUGAAACCAGACAAUCGCAUGAUAAUCUGGUCAAAAUGUUUAGUGGUGUAAGAUGGACUUGCGUCUGAUUAGCUAGUUGGUGAGAUAAAAGCUCACCAAGGCAACGAUCAGUAGCCGGCUUGAGAGAGUGUACGGCCACAUUGGGACUGAGACACGGCCCAGACUCCUACGGGAGGCAGCAGUGGGGAAUUUUGCACAAUGGGGGAAACCCUGAUGCAGCGACGCCGCGUGAUUUAGAAGGCCUUCGGGUUGUAAAAAUCUUUUGUAUAGGAAGAAAAUGACAGUACUAUACGAAUAAGGUCCGGCUAAUUACGUG
This 478-nucleotide ribosomal RNA is filed under the name uncultured bacterium. RNAcentral's name for it is "partial 16S ribosomal RNA". It matches the Rfam family "Bacterial small subunit ribosomal RNA", at positions 28 to 507 of the family's 1533-position model. The record is from RNAcentral.